Molecule: unclassified non-coding RNA, 310 nt
Filed under: plant metagenome
Description: partial contains 5.8S ribosomal RNA, internal transcribed spacer 2, and large subunit ribosomal RNA
Rfam family: 5.8S ribosomal RNA (bases 1-105)
Source: RNAcentral
GAAAUGCGAUAAGUAGUGUGAAUUGCAGAAUUCAGUGAAUCAUCGAAUCUUUGAACGCACAUUGCGCCCCUUGGUAUUCCAUGGGGCAUGCCUGUUCGAGCGUCAUUUGUACCCUCAAGCUCUGCUUGGUGUUGGGUGUUCGUCCCCGUCUCCGCGCGUGGACUCGCCCCAAAGUGAUUGGCAGCCGGCGUACUGGUCCCGGAGCGCAGCACAUGUCGCGCAAACGAGUGCCUUGGUACGGCGGCGUCCAUAAGCCCCUCUCUCACGCUCUUGACCUCGGAUCAGGUAGGGAUACCCGCUGAACUGAAGC